This is a long non-coding RNA of Sceloporus undulatus (fence lizard), 558 nucleotides long. RefSeq lists it as uncharacterized. NCBI's taxonomy places the organism in Eukaryota, Metazoa, Chordata, Lepidosauria, Squamata, Phrynosomatidae. The record is from RefSeq and is a predicted model, not a curated record. The transcript has 2 exons.
AGGGAGCUACUCUCUAUCCCAUCCUGCGCUCUGCGCUGCAUGACCCCAAGCAAUAUAAAAACCCGUCCCAGUUUGACCCGGCGCAUUUCCUGGAUGAAAAAGGAGAAUUCAAGAAGAAUGGAGCCGACAUGCCUUUCUCUGCAGGCAAGAGGAACUGCCUUGGCGAAGGACUGGCCCGGAUGCAGCUCUUCCUCUACAUCACCACCAUCUUGCAGAGUUUCCGCCUGAAGUAUCCCCCGGGAGUCACCAAGAUCAACCUCGUUCCCGACGUCAGUGGGUUCGGGAAUAUCCCACACCAAGUCGACUUCUGCUUCUGCCCACGCUAAGGGCAUGAAAGGUCCCAAAAUCUCUCCAACUGGGGCUCAUCCAACUGCCAUCAUUUCCCUUUUCUGAUUUUGCUUUAAUUUAACACACACAUCAUUAUAGAGCAGCGGUUCCCAAACUUUGGAGAGAUACGAAUUACUUCAAAGUGUUUGCAAUCAUGGUUUUACAUUUUUGUAGAUGACACCCCACGAUAAAGGACAGGAUGGAAUCAUAAUCAUAAUAAAGCAACUGAGU